AUAUGAAUCAAUGAAUCAAUAUGCACUUAUUAAUAUAUAAUUAUUAUAUUGAUUUGUAAUCAACAGGAUGGACUCAGGAUCCAGAUAAAAUUAUAAGACGGAAUCACUUCUCGGAUGGCCUUAUUCUGUCUCCCAGAUAUCUUGUCACUUGAAAGGACCUCUGACCUCGUCACCAUGGAGGAAGGAGUCAUUCUACAGUAGAGCCUAUGAGAGAACAGAAGGCAAAUCCUUACAAAGAUGUGACGCUCUUCUUUUAUCCUCAGGAAAGGGUCUUCUCCACACUCUUCAAUGCACUGGCACAAGUACAUGAUUCUGGACCCACACGGACAUCCAGAAGCAUCGCUGAAGAAAAGACAAAGAGAAGGAAAACACCAGAAGUACUGGUCACCUCUGCUGAGCCUCCCUUGAGUACUAUGCUUCUCUUUUCCCUGCUUCCUUCUGUUGCUUGUCACCCUGUGUGGUCUCAUUUGACCCUUAAACACUGUUGUGUUAUAUAAUUCACUCUUGAGAGUUCGACCCAUCUAUGCAGGAAAAAGCAAGUAGAUAAAGAUUGCUUAUUGUUCAUAUUAUGAAGUACAGUGAAGUGGAAGCCUAUGAGUUAUUCAGCUCAAUACAAAUAUUUUGGAUGGGUGCUUGAAAUGGUCAAUUCAUUGGAUCCAGACCUAAACAGGAGAAGAAUUGUCUAAAAUACCUCUGGGAAAUAGCAAUGUUUUUUUAACGAACUCAAAUUUCUUCAUGAUCGAUAUUCUUCUAGAGAGAGAGUGUAGUUGCAAAUCACAGAAUAACAUAGUCUCUAAAGAAUUGACAUUGAGAAUCUCACAAUAGUCAAUGGAAAGGUUCGUGGUGUAUGUGUCCAAGCUACAGCACAUUUAAAGCAAGGAAUUAGAAAGGAGGAGAGGAAAGGACAUCAUCGAAGAAAUGUAUGCGAGAAAAAGAGGAUGGAUGGGUGAUGAUAAUCAAAGGACAGCCCACUUGUUCCCUUGGUAUCCUCAAGAAAACAAGGGAGACUCUUGCUAUUUGGGGAGGAUACUCUGUGGUGAACUUUUGGUAGGAAAUGGGUAAGACACCACAGACAAGAUGAGAAGGCCCAGAUGGUUACAGUCUCCAUCACUUAUCAAUGGGAUCACAGAGCCAUUUGAGUACUUUAAUGUACUGAAAAAUGAUCCAGUGAAAAUCAGUUACUUCCUAAUUCUUAAUUCUCCUGGGACUUGCAUAGCUUCAUUGAUAGAAUUUCAAGAAUGGAUGGAGAAAAUAUUUAGUUACACCUAAUUUUUUUUUCAAAGCACCAUUUUUUUUCUAGUGCUUUAAGUAUUGUGAACAACAAUUAAAAAAUCUUUUUCAUGCUCCUUUAGUUACUCUCAUAGCUUAUUUAAUUAAGCUUUGAAGGAUUGUUACUUCUUGUAAGAUACUAUUACUUAAUGACUCUGUGUGUGUGUGUGUGUGUGUGUGUGUGUGUAUGAAGAAGAAAAUGACAAACCACUCCAAUAUCUUUACCUA
RNAcentral lists this long non-coding RNA (1497 nucleotides) under Phascolarctos cinereus (koala). Its description in RNAcentral is "lncRNA (ENSPCIG00000024831.2)". The record is from RNAcentral. Lineage: Eukaryota; Metazoa; Chordata; Mammalia; Diprotodontia; Phascolarctidae.